RNAcentral lists this ribosomal RNA (546 nucleotides) under uncultured Glomeromycotina. Its description in RNAcentral is "SSU rRNA". It matches the Rfam family "Eukaryotic small subunit ribosomal RNA", at positions 548 to 1097 of the family's 1831-position model. Lineage: Eukaryota; Fungi; Glomeromycota. The record is from RNAcentral.
UUGGAGGGCAAGUCUGGUGCCAGCAGCCGCGGUAAUUCCAGCUCCAAUAGCGUAUAUUAAAGUUGUUGCAGUUAAAAAGCUCGUAGUUGAAUUUCGGGAUUCUUCCGUUGGACAGGCUAACAAGUCUGUACUAGCGUGUAGAAUCUCUACCUUCUGGGGAACCAUCAUGUUAUUAAUUUAGCGUGGUGGGAAACCAGGACCUUUACCUUGAAAAAAUUAGAGUGUUCAAAGCAGGCUUACGUCUGAAUACAUUAGCAUGGAAUAAUAAAAUAGGACGGUGGUCCUGUUUUGUUGGUUUCUGAAUCACCGUAAUGAUUAAUAGGGAUAGUUGGGGGCAUUAGUAUUCAAUUGUCAGAGGUGAAAUUCUUGGAUUUAUUGAAGACUAACUUCUGCGAAAGCAUUUGCCAAGGAUGUUUUCAUUAAUCAAGAACGAAAGUUAGGGGAUCGAAGACGAUCAGAUACCGUCGUAGUCUUAACCAUAAACUAUGCCGACUAGGGAUCGGACGAUGUUAAAUUUUAUUGUCUCGUUCGGCGCCUUACGGGAAA